GACGAACGCUGGCGGCGUGCUUAACACAUGCAAGUCGAACGGAAAGGCCCUGCUUGCAGGGUGCUCGAGUGGCGAACGGGUGAGUAACACGUGGGUGAUCUGCCCCUUACUUUGGGAUAAGCCUGGGAAACUGGGUCUAAUACUGGAUAGGACCAUGCUGUAGGUGGUGUGGUGGAAAGAUUAGUUUCGGUAAGGGAUGAGCUCGCGGCCUAUCAGCUUGUUGGUGGGGUAAUGGCCUACCAAGGCGUCGACGGGUAGCCGGCCUGAGAGGGUGGACGGCCACAUUGGGACUGAGAUACGGCCCAGACUCCUACGGGAGGCAGCAGUGGGGAAUAUUGCACAAUGGGCGCAAGCCUGAUGCAGCGACGCCGCGUGGGGGAUGACGGCCUUCGGGUUGUAAACUCCUUUCAGCCAUGACGAAGCCCUUGUGGUGACGGUAGUGGUAGAAGAAGCACCGGCCAACUACGUA
This 469-nucleotide ribosomal RNA is filed under the name uncultured bacterium. Its description in RNAcentral is "partial 16S ribosomal RNA". It matches the Rfam family "Bacterial small subunit ribosomal RNA", at positions 28 to 507 of the family's 1533-position model. The record is from RNAcentral.